GGUAGUCCCUAACAGGAAACUANCGAAAGGGAAGCUGGUUAAUAUUCCAGCACCUCGUGUGUUUUGCCGCACAAUUAGACUUUGGGAUAUUGGAAGUACGGGUGACAACGUACCUGCAGAUAUAAGGGGGUGGAGAAUCGUAAUGAUGAGAAGCCGGGGAAAGCCUGUGGGUCCCCCUAUGGGGAUUUCUUAGAUUUCUGGAGUCUGUGAAAAGGUUGUGCGGGUCAAGCACGAGAUCGUACCAAGAACCGACACAGGUGCCCCUGGAUGAGAAGUCCAAGGCGUUUGGGAAUAAUGGACGCGAGGGAACUCGGCCAAAUAGCUCCGUAUCUUAGGUAGAAGGAGUGCCUAUUCCGGGAGGGAAUAGGUCGCAGUGGCAAGGGGACCCCGACUGUUUACCAAAAACACAGAUCGCUGCUAGUUCGUAAGGAUGUGUAUAGCGGUUGAAACCUGCCCAGUGUCGGUACCUGAAAAUCCCGUACAAGGGAAAGAAGGGCCGAUAAACGGCGGGGGUAACUAUGACCCUCUUAAGGUAGCGUAAUACCUAGCCGCUUAAUUGGCGGCUUGCAUGAAGGUUCAACGUGAGUCCCACUGUCCCCGCGUUCAGCCCCGUGAAAUUGAUGCACUGGUGCACAAUCCAGUCUCUCCCACGUGAAAGCGAAGUCCCCGUGGAGCUUUACUGCAGCCUGUAGCUGUAAUACGGUGCUUAAUGCGUAGAGUAGGAAGGAGCCGUCGAUGCCUGGGUUCUGGCUCAGGUGGAGGCAACGAUGAAACACUUCCCUUUAGGUACUGAAUUACUAACCUCGAAAGAGGGACAACUAUUGGUGGGCAGUUUGGGUGGGGCGCCACGCCCCCGAGAAUUUAACAGGGGCCCCCAAAGGUUAGCUCAGGAGGGUCAGCAAUCCUCCGUAGAGUGUAAGGGCAAAAGCUAGCUUGACUGGGUUCCGGGCAAUAAGGAACGCAGAUGCGAAAGCAGGGCCUAACGAACCACCCUGUCCCCCUUUAGUGGGGGCGGGUGAUAAGAGAGAAGUUACCCCAGGGAUAACUGAGUUGUCCUCGGCAAGAGUUCAUAUCGACCCGAGGGUUUGCUACUUCGAUGUCGUCUGUUCCUAUCCUGGUGCUGAACAAGGUGCCAAGGGUGGGGCUGUUCGCCCAUUAAAAGGGAUCCUGAGAUGGGUUCACUACGUCGCGAGACAGUAGGGUUGCUUCUCCGUGGGAGUGCUCGAUGUCUGAAGGGAAGGAGCCUUUAGUACGAGAGGAACGGGGGUUCGUGACCUCUGGUUUGCCGGUUGUCUGUCAAGGCAUUGCCGGGUAGCCACGUCAUACGCGAAUAAAAGCUGAAAGCAUCUAAGCUUGAAGUCGCCCCUGAAAAUAGACAUCGUCAUUCAGGUCUCUCCUAGAAGAGGAGUUUGAUAGAACUGGGAUGUAAGUGCCAAGCUUCGGCGAGGCAUUAAGUCUACAGUCACUAAUAGACCGAAUGCACAAUC
This 1487-nucleotide ribosomal RNA is filed under the name mine drainage metagenome. RNAcentral describes it as "bacterial LSU rRNA". It matches the Rfam family "Archaeal large subunit ribosomal RNA", at positions 1482 to 2987 of the family's 2987-position model. The record is from RNAcentral.